Long non-coding RNA from Perognathus longimembris pacificus (Pacific pocket mouse), 534 nucleotides. RefSeq lists it as uncharacterized. NCBI's taxonomy places the organism in Eukaryota, Metazoa, Chordata, Mammalia, Rodentia, Heteromyidae. The record is from RefSeq and is a predicted model, not a curated record. The transcript has 3 exons.
AUUUUUCAGAGUGGCACUUGAGUCUUGCGUUACUAACACAAUGGAUACGAGUUUUUUUCAGUGGGACUAGAGUUAAGGCAGUAGAUUAUAAAAAUUCACCAUGGAUGUAAACAUCACCUGUGUUCUAGGAGAAAUAUUAAAGAUAAUAUACCAAACUUCCCAGGUCUUUUUUUUGCUUUAUAUAAAAUGCUUACAAAUUCAAAUGUAACUCAUAUUUAGCAGUAAAAUCCCUUUCUUCGAAUUAACUGCUACCUGUGUUGUGAGUUCAAGAAGCCAUUUACUGCCUAGAAUAUUAACUCUGAAGCCUUAAAGUGCAUUCGUGAAAUAUCGGUUUUCAUGUAAACUUCAUAAUUUGAAAUGUUAAUGUUUAAAUUAAGUAGUUUACCAUUGUCAAUACCACUUACAAACAGCAGCUCCAAUAUAGAAAGUUAGAUCAAAGUGAGAAGUGAAGAUUCACAGUUUACCUUCCUAGGUUUGUUAUUAUUUCACCUUGGUGCCUUUUAGCUUUGAAUGCUUUACAGAUGAAUUCAAGUC